GACGAACGCUGGCGGCGUGCUUAACACAUGCAAGUCGAACGGAAAGGCCCUGCUUUUGUGGGGUGCUCGAGUGGCGAACGGGUGAGUAACACGUGAGUAACCUGCCCUUGACUUUGGGAUAACUUCAGGAAACUGGGGCUAAUACCGGAUAGGAGCUCCUGCUGCAUGGUGGGGGUUGGAAAGUUUCGGCGGUUGGGGAUGGACUCGCGGCUUAUCAGCUUGUUGGUGGGGUAGUGGCUUACCAAGGCUUUGACGGGUAGCCGGCCUGAGAGGGUGACCGGCCACAUUGGGACUGAGCUACGGCCCAGACUCCUACGGGAGGCAGCAGUGGGGAAUAUUGCACAAUGGGGGGAAGCCUGAUGCAGCAACGCCGCGUGCGGGAUGACGGCCUUCGGGUUGUAAACCGCUUUCGCCUGUGACGAAGCGUGAGUGACGGUAAUGGGUAAAGAAGCACCGGCUAACUACGUG
Molecule: ribosomal RNA, 468 nt
Filed under: uncultured bacterium
Lineage: Bacteria
Description: partial 16S ribosomal RNA
Rfam family: Bacterial small subunit ribosomal RNA
Source: RNAcentral